RNAcentral lists this unclassified non-coding RNA (332 nucleotides) under soil metagenome. Its description in RNAcentral is "partial contains 5.8S ribosomal RNA, internal transcribed spacer 2, and large subunit ribosomal RNA". The stretch from base 1 to 120 matches the Rfam family "5.8S ribosomal RNA", at positions 35 to 154 of the family's 154-position model. The record is from RNAcentral.
GAUGAAGAACGUAGCGAAAUGCGAUAAGUAGUGUGAAUUGCAGAAUUCAGUGAAUCAUCGAAUCUUUGAACGCACAUUGCGCCUCCUGGCAUUCCGGGAGGCAUGCCUGUUCGAGCGUCAUUUAAACCUUCAAGCUAAGCUUGGUGUUGGGUGACUGUCCGCUUCACUGCGGACUCGCCUCAAAAUUAUUGGCGGCCGGUACAUUGGCUUCGAGCGCAGCAGAAACGCGAACUCGGGCCCGUCGUAUUGGCUCCCAGAAGCUAUCUUCACAAUUUUGACCUCGGAUCAGGUAGGGAUACCCGCUGAACUUAAGCAUAUCAAUAAGCGGAGGA